CCUACGGGAGGCAGCAGUGGGGAAUAUUGGACAAUGGGCGAAAGCCUGAUCCAGCCAUGCCGCGUGUGUGAAGAAGGCCUUCGGGUUGUAAAGCACUUUCAGUGGGGAAGAAAGCCUUGGGGCUAAUACCCUCGAGGAAGGACAUCACCCACAGAAGAAGCACCGGCUAACUCCGUGCCAGCAGCCGCGGUAAUACGGAGGGUGCGAGCGUUAAUCGGAAUUACUGGGCGUAAAGCGCGCGUAGGCGGUCUGAUAAGCCGGUUGUGAAAGCCCCGGGCUCAACCUGGGAACGGCAUCCGGAACUGUCAGGCUAGAGUGCAGGAGAGGAAGGUAGAAUUCCCGGUGUAGCAGUGAAAUGCGUAGAGAUCGGGAGGAAUAUCAGUGGCGAAGGCGGCCUUCUGGACUGACACUGACGCUGAGGUGCGAAAGCGUGGGUAGCAAACAGGAUUAGAUACCCUUGUAGUC
Molecule: ribosomal RNA, 465 nt
Filed under: Vreelandella stevensii
Lineage: Bacteria; Pseudomonadati; Pseudomonadota; Gammaproteobacteria; Oceanospirillales; Halomonadaceae
Description: partial 16S ribosomal RNA
Rfam family: Bacterial small subunit ribosomal RNA
Source: RNAcentral